GUCUACGGCCACACCACCCUGAACGCGCCCGAUCUCGUCUGAUCUCGGAAGCUAAGCAGGGUCGGGCCUGGUUAGUACUUGGAAGGGAGAAAAACAAAAACUAAUAAAACCAAAGGACAGGCUGAGUGUGGUGGCUC
RNAcentral lists this ribosomal RNA (137 nucleotides) under Microcebus murinus (gray mouse lemur). Lineage: Eukaryota; Metazoa; Chordata; Mammalia; Primates; Cheirogaleidae. The record is from RNAcentral.